This is an RNA transcript of Hibiscus syriacus, 1122 nucleotides long. It is a transcript of the gene named rRNA 2'-O-methyltransferase fibrillarin-like, with no coding region annotated. The record is from RefSeq and is a predicted model, not a curated record. NCBI's taxonomy places the organism in Eukaryota, Viridiplantae, Streptophyta, Magnoliopsida, Malvales, Malvaceae. The transcript is spliced from 5 exons.
ACACUCAAACCCGAUUACUGAAUACCUAGGCCUGGCCCAAUUAGGUUCAACGGUCCACUAGUACAAUCUCCGCCACCAACGCCGGUAUAAUUCAUGUCGCAGGACCACCGUCGAUUUUCUUACCUCUCUCAAUAGUCUAUUCACCACUUGUAUCGGUUGUCAAAUCUCCACCGCCUCUAUCAUCAUCACCACCAAAGCAAGAAAUCAUCCUACCACCACCUACUCAUCACCGCUGCCUCCACUUUUAAUAUUUUGCCACUGUUUGGAAAGGGGAAAACAUUUUAUGGAAAAUGUUUUCCCCGUUUUCCUGUGUUUAGUUUCGGUAAAAUAUCUGGGUCAACGUAAAAUAUUUUACGGUCAAUGGAAAAAUGAGAGGAAAACACGGUAUUUUAACUUACCGUUUGGAAAAGGGUAAGUUGUUUUCCAGUUUUCUCUCGUCCCUUUCUCCACACCGAAAAAUCGAUCGACUGUUUGGAAUCCUUCUCACCGGCGAGGCGGACGGUCGUUUUCUCAGGACAAACAUGUGAAGGAAAUUGUCUUGAAAGCAAUGGGGCAGACAAUCAGUAAGACAGUAGCCAUUGCAGAGAUUUUAAAGAGGGAGAGGGCGGAGUUGGGGCAGGGGUGGAUACUCAAACUAUGGAAAUUAUCAAGGUAUAGAAUAUGGAUUUGGAUAACGUUAUGAUAACGGUGGAUACUCAAACUGGGGCAGAGGUGGUGGGCGAGGAAGAGGUUGGGGUUAUCGUGGUGCUGAUUAUGAAAGAGGUAGAGGUGGUGGUGGUGGUAGAGGCUAUAGCCGUGGCCAUGGAAGGAUGGGCGAUGGUCGAUCCAGGGGUGGUGGCUACUAAAGCACAAUCAAAGGACGCAUAAAGCUCGUGUUGUUCCCCCUUUUUUAGCUAGAUGCUUGCCUUGGUCGGUGGGAAAUUAUGGAAGUAGGUGUGUUUAUAAUAGCGUGAGUUUGUGGGUUAAAAUCUCAAGCAUUAUUAAGCAGUGGUUUUGUGUUUCUGCCUGGCAUCAUAUAUGGAUGAGGGAAAUGUUUUUAUUUCGCAUUUAGCCAAGGCCAAGAGGAUGGGUUUAUGAUUUGUGCUGUAUUUCAAGUUUAUAUGUAAAUAUUUGAUUUCUUUA